RNAcentral lists this long non-coding RNA (274 nucleotides) under Trifolium pratense (red clover). RNAcentral's name for it is "long non-coding RNA (TPRA_LNC006460)". Lineage: Eukaryota; Viridiplantae; Streptophyta; Magnoliopsida; Fabales; Fabaceae. The record is from RNAcentral.
ACCGGGCUCUGAUACCAACUUUGUCACGACCCAAUUUCUGAUCAUGACCGGCGCACAGGCCACCUCUAACUAACCCUGUAUUUAGCCUGGCAAGCCUAUUAAACUAUACACUAUAACAAAUAUACUUAAUUAAAAUAUAGAAUUUUUAAAAUUAUAGCUCGACAGGGAGGGUCCCUGGUCCUACGUAUCCCUAAAUGAUUUGGGAAUCAGAGCCACGUAGUUCUCUGAGUGUUGGUUAUUAACUAUCAACAAAAUAUAUAAAAACUAUCUCAUU